RNAcentral lists this ribosomal RNA (544 nucleotides) under uncultured bacterium. RNAcentral describes it as "bacterial SSU rRNA". It matches the Rfam family "Bacterial small subunit ribosomal RNA", at positions 8 to 519 of the family's 1533-position model. The record is from RNAcentral.
AGAGUUUGAUUCUGGCUCAGGACGAACGCUGGCGGCGUGCCUAAUACAUGCAAGUCGAGCGAGCUGAACCAGCAGAUUCACUUCGGUGAUGACGCUGGGAACGCGAGCGGCGGAUGGGUGAGUAACACGUGGGUAACCUGCCCUAAAGUCUGGGAUACCACUUGGAAACAGGUGCUAAUACCGGAUAACAACAAUAGCUGCAUGGCUAUUGCUUAAAAGGCGGCGAAAGCUGUCGCUAAAGGAUGGACCCGCGGUGCAUUAGCUAGUUGGUAAGGUAAUGGCUUACCAAGGCGACGAUGCAUAGCCGAGUUGAGAGACUGAUCGGCCACAUUGGGACUGAGACACGGCCCAAACUCCUACGGGAGGCAGCAGUAGGGAAUCUUCCACAAUGGGCGAAAGCCUGAUGGAGCAACGCCGCGUGAGUGAAGAAGGUUUUCGGAUCGUAAAGCUCUGUUGUUGGUGAAGAAGGAUAGAGGUAGUAACUGGCCCCUAUUUGACGGUAAUCAACCAGAAAGUCACGGCUAACUACGUGCCAGCAGCCGCG